Sinocyclocheilus grahami is the source of this 440-nucleotide non-coding RNA. The record is from the annotation of a RefSeq genome assembly. NCBI's taxonomy places the organism in Eukaryota, Metazoa, Chordata, Actinopteri, Cypriniformes, Cyprinidae.
CACUGACACACACAACAAUCUUCAUCAACAUGACCUUCAUCAUCAUCUUCAUCUGGACUCUCACAGCGUUUGCUCAAGAGAGUAGAGGACAGAUCAGCGUCACUCAGAGUCCCUCAACGACAGCAGCUCAACCAGAAGAAACAGUCAAAAUCAACUGUAGAACCAGCACAGAUGUAGCUGAACAUAGUGCGCCACGUUACUAUUUAAGCUGGUAUUUACAAAAACUUGGAGAAGCUCCUAAACUCCUGAUUUAUUAUGCAAACACUCUCCAGUCAGGCACUCCAUCUAGAUUCAGUGGCAGUGCAUCAUCUGCGACUGAUUUCACUCUGACCAUCAGUGGAGUCCAGACUGAAGAUGCUGGACAUUAUUACUGUCAGAGUUACCACAGUGGUGAUGUGUUCACACAGGAUUGUGUGGGUGAUGAGGUGUUCACACAGUGA